GACGAACGCUGGCGGCGUGCCUAAUACAUGCAAGUAGAACGCUGAAGCGAGGAGCUUGCUCUUCUUGGAUGAGUUGCGAACGGGUGAGUAACGCGUAGGUAACCUGCCUUGUAGCGGGGGAUAACUAUUGGAAACGAUAGCUAAUACCGCAUAACAAUGGAUGACACAUGUCAUUUAUUUGAAAGGGGCAAUUUCUCCACUACAUGAUGGACCUGCGUUGUAUUAGCUAGUAGGUGAGGUAACGGCUCACCUAGGCGACGAUACAUAGCCGACCUGAGAGGGUGAUCGGCCACACUGGGACUGAGACACGGCCCAGAAUCCUACGGGAGGCAGCAGUAGGGAAUCUUCGGCAAUGGGGGCAACACUGACCGAGCAACGCCGCGUGAGUGAAGAAGGUUUUCGGAUCGUAAAGCUCUGUUGUAAGUCAAGAACGAGUGUGAGAGUGGAAAGUUCACACUGUGACGGUAGCUUACCAGAAAGGGACGGCUAACUACGUG
Molecule: ribosomal RNA, 497 nt
Filed under: uncultured bacterium
Lineage: Bacteria
Description: partial 16S ribosomal RNA
Rfam family: Bacterial small subunit ribosomal RNA
Source: RNAcentral